GGAGGGUGCAAGCGUUGUCCGGAUUUAUUGGGUUUAAAGGGUACGUAGGCGGGCUAAUAAGUCUGAGGUGAAAGCUCUCGGCUCAACCGGGAAAUUGCCUUGGAUACUGUUAGUCUUGAGUACAGUAGAGGUGGGCGGAAUUCAUGGUGUAGCGGUGAAAUGCAUAGAUACCAUGAGGAACACCGUUAGGGAAGCCAGCUCACUGGACUGUUACUGACGCUGAGGUACGAAAGCGUGGGGAGCAAACAGGAUUAGAUACCCUGGUAGUCCGCGCCGUAAACGAUGAAUGCCAGACGUCAGCAGGCAUGCCUGUUGGUGUCACACCUAACGGAUUAAGCAUUCCGCCUGGGGAGUACGGCCGCAAGGUUA
Molecule: ribosomal RNA, 369 nt
Filed under: uncultured bacterium
Lineage: Bacteria
Description: bacterial SSU rRNA
Rfam family: Bacterial small subunit ribosomal RNA
Source: RNAcentral